This 323-nucleotide ribosomal RNA is filed under the name Staphylococcus aureus. RNAcentral's name for it is "partial 23S ribosomal RNA". It matches the Rfam family "Bacterial large subunit ribosomal RNA", at positions 1541 to 1861 of the family's 2925-position model. Lineage: Bacteria; Bacillati; Bacillota; Bacilli; Caryophanales; Staphylococcaceae. The record is from RNAcentral.
UCCGGUACUCAUUAAGGCUGAGCUGUGAUGGGGAGAAGACAUUGUGUCUUCGAGUCGUUGAUUUCACACUGCCGAGAAAAGCCUCUAGAUAGAAAAUAGGUGCCCGUACCGCAAACCGACACAGGUAGUCAAGAUGAGAAUUCUAAGGUGAGCGAGCGAACUCUCGUUAAGGAACUCGGCAAAAUGACCCCGUAACUUCGGGAGAAGGGGUGCUCUUUAGGGUUAACGCCCAGAAGAGCCGCAGUGAAUAGGCCCAAGCGACUGUUUAUCAAAAACACAGGUCUCUGCUAAACCGUAAGGUGAUGUAUAGGGGCUGACGCCUG